Molecule: ribosomal RNA, 402 nt
Filed under: Eurycope producta complex sp. 5 AD-2018
Lineage: Eukaryota; Metazoa; Arthropoda; Malacostraca; Isopoda; Munnopsidae
Description: partial 16S ribosomal RNA
Rfam family: Archaeal large subunit ribosomal RNA
Source: RNAcentral
UAGCAUAAUCAUUUGUCUUAUAAUAGAAGGCUGGUAUGAAAGAGUUGACGGCGCUAAAACUUUCUUUAAAAAUUAAUUGAAUUUAAUAUCUACAUUAAAAAGUGUAGAGCACCCAAAGGGACGAUAAGACCCUAUAAAGCUUCUAUCGAAAUAUUUGUUGGUAUAAAGGUAAAAAAUAAUUUUAAUCGAUUGAGCUGGGGCGGUAGUUACAAUUCUGUAAUAGSGGUAACAUAAUUUAUGAAUGUAAAGAUCUUAAAAAAGAAUUAGAACAAGCUACUUUAGGGAUAACAGCAUAAUUUCUUAGAAUAGAUCGAAUAGAUUAAUAAGACUUAUGACCUCGAUGUUGAAUUGAGGGGCCUUUUGUAAGCAAAAAUACAAAAAGGAGGUCUGUUCGACCUUUGA